This 253-nucleotide ribosomal RNA is filed under the name uncultured prokaryote. RNAcentral's name for it is "partial 16S ribosomal RNA". It matches the Rfam family "Bacterial small subunit ribosomal RNA", at positions 524 to 776 of the family's 1533-position model. The record is from RNAcentral.
GACGUAGGGCGCGAGCGUUGUCCGGAUUUAUUGGGCGUAAAGAGCUCGUAGGCGGCUUGUUGCGUCGGCUGUGAAAACCCGUGGCUUAACUGCGGGCUUGCAGCUGAUACGGGCGGGCUAGAGUUCGGUAGGGGAGACUGGAAUUCCUGGUGUAGCGGUGAAAUGCGUAGAUAUCAGGAGGAACACCGGUGGUGUAGACGGCUUGCUGGACCAUGACUGACGCUGAGGCACGAAAGCGUGGGGAGCAAACAGG